GGAAUCUUGGUCAAUGGGCGCAAGCCUGAACCAGCGACGCCGCGUGGAGGACGAAGGCCCUCGGGUCGUAAACUCCUUUUGCGUGGGAAGAAGCUCUGACGGUACCACGCGAAUAAGCCACGGCUAACUACGUGCCAGCAGCCGCGGUAAUACGUAGGUGGCGAGCGUUGUCCGGAUUUAUUGGGCGUAAAGCGCGUGCAGGCGGUUCGUUAAGUCCGGUGUGAAAGCUCCCGGCUCAACUGGGAGAGGUCACUGGAUACUGGCGGACUCGAGGGAGGCAGAGGAAGGUGGAAUUCCCGGUGUAGUGGUGAAAUGCGUAGAGAUCGGGAGGAACACCAGUGGCGAAGGCGGCCUUCUGGGCCUUUCCUGACGCUGAGACGCGAAAGCGUGGGGAGCGAAC
RNAcentral lists this ribosomal RNA (400 nucleotides) under uncultured bacterium. RNAcentral describes it as "bacterial SSU rRNA". It matches the Rfam family "Bacterial small subunit ribosomal RNA", at positions 358 to 773 of the family's 1533-position model. The record is from RNAcentral.